GAGGGUAUAGUGCAGUGGUAGCGUGCAUGCUUAGCAUGCUCAGGGUUCUGGAUUCAAUCCCCAGUACUUUCA
This 72-nucleotide transfer RNA is filed under the name Camelus ferus (Wild Bactrian camel). It matches the Rfam family "tRNA". Rfam says of the family: Transfer RNA (tRNA) molecules are approximately 80 nucleotides in length. Their secondary structure includes four short double-helical elements and three loops (D, anti-codon, and T loops). The record is from Rfam by way of RNAcentral. Lineage: Eukaryota; Metazoa; Chordata; Mammalia; Artiodactyla; Camelidae.